AUAGGCUACUUCAAAUAAAUUACUGUCUUACUCAGUUCAAAGAGGCAGAUCGGUAAUGUACUCAUGCAUUGUAAUCUCAGAAAAAGUCACAGGAGUAGCUUAUAAAUCAUAGCACCCCAGGAGAGUCAGGAAGAAAGGCUGGCUUGGAAAGUUCACUGCAUCAUAGAACGUGCUCCUUCAUUACUUUGCUGAGGCCUGUUCAGUCUUCAUUCUAUGCAACAAAGAUUUCUCAUAAUGAGCUAGUAAAUGCAUUGGCAUUUCAAGAAAAAGAUAAUUGUUAAUAGUGGAAGAGUUUCAUGCUAAGGUCAAAGGCACUUUGGUGGAAGCAGAGAACACAGAGAUUUCUACUUACUAAACAAAUCAGGGGCUCAUUCUGAAUCAUUUUGGGAGACAUAAAUUGCUCUAGAAAACUAGAGCUAGUUAGAGACCACCGACCUUGAAAUGAAACCACCCUUAGGGAAAAUGGAAAUUGAAAGGCUUAAAUAUAUUCCCUCGAAAUUCCUCAGAACUUUUCUUUAUGCCCAAGGUACUAUUGGUGGAAACAACCUUAAGAGACAAGAGCAUUGUUCUGAAAAUUACCCUUGUAUUUUUGGCACAUUGAGAAAAAGACAUACUUGUGUUCUUCCACUCCUGCCUGCCUUUUGAGCAAAGUGAACUUUGGAAAUAUCUUAUUUCCCAAUUAGCUAAAUCAUUUAAUUUUCCUAGUCUAAAAGUUAUUUAAAUUAUUGAUUCAAUGUUUCAGCAAUGUUAAAGCUUCAAAGCCAAAUUUAUUUAUUAAUCAUUUAAUACCACAUGUAUUUAUUGAGCUCCUACAGGGUACUGGAGAUACAGAAAUGAAAGACCUGUCAAGCUCCUUACUCUUAUGAAGCUUUCUUUGUAUUUGGGGAAGGGAGGGGAGGGGCUGCAAAAAUUAAUAAAUGAGAAAAUAGCAGGUGCUACAUUUACCAAGAAUCAAAAUAAGCCAGGCUGAGAGAGGACAGGAGGGUAUUCUAGAUUGACUGGUCAAGGAAGUCUUCUUGAGUUGAGCUGAGAAUUGAAUGAAAAGAAGGGAGCCAGCCAUGCAAACAUCAAGAAGACAAAGCAUUUGGCUGGAUAUAUGCCCAAGAGUGGGAUUGCUGGGUCAUAUGGUAGUUUGAGUUUUCUGAGGUACCUCCAUACUGUUUUCCACUGGGGUUGUACCAAUUUACAUUCCCACCAACAGUGUAGGAGGGUUCCCUUUUCUCCACACCCUCUCCAGCAUUUAUUUGCGGACUUAUUAAUGAUGGCUAUUCUGACUGGUGUGAGGUGGUACCUUAAUGGAUAAGCAAUGAGAUCCUGCUCUACAGCACUUGGAACUAUAUCUAGUCACUUAUGAUGGAGCAUGAUGGAGGAGAAUGUGAGAAAAAUGUGUAUAUAUGUAUGUGUGACUGGGUCACUUUGCUGUAUAAUAGAAAAUUGACAGAACACUGUAAAACCAGUGGGAAAAAAAUAAAAGUCAUUGUUAAAAAAAAAAAAAAGAAAAAAGAAAAAAAGCAUUUGGGGCAGAGCAAACAGCCCUAGCGCAAAAUGAGUCUGGUCUGCUCUUGGAACAGGAAGAAGGCCAGGUUAGGUAAGUGGGUUAGAAUGACAGUGUAGACAUGGACUGAAUCCCAGGCCAGAAAUUAGCAGCCAAGGCUGUACUCUUGAUUGAAUUGGGAAGCAUCAAGGCAGUAAAUCCUGAUCUGAUUUCUGUCCCCUUCCAAUACAAUUUGCACUUCACUGUUAAUUAACCUACAAUAUCAUGUUAAUUGAUUCAACUUCCAUCUUCAGAAAGCAUCUUAUACACCAUCUGCCUUCAGAAGAAAGUUCAAAUUAUUUAGCUUGACAUUUCCAGACCUCCAAAAACUUACACUAACCAAUCUGUACAGCUUUAUGCCUCUCUGCUCCUCUAAUAAAUAUUCUCCUCUAGCCGACUCUUUACUCCAACACUCCUUUGAUUUUAUCCUCAUUUUUUUUCCUCCGUGCCAUUCCCUGUUAUUAGCAUGACCUUUCCCUUCUCUCAACACAUUCCUAUCAAGUUCUCCUUAAAAGUCUUUUUGCAACUCUCAAAAGAAGAUUCAACACAAAGUGACUUAAAUAAAAGAAAUUUCCUUUUGUAAGUAAAUUAAAUGUCCAAAAUAAACUUUUGGCAGAUUUUAUCCAGAGGUUAAUGAUGCCAUUUACUCUGAGAUUAACUCGACUCUGUAUGGCUCCCUGUGUUGAUUUCAUUCUCAGGCUGGCUUCCUUCCAGAUGGCAAAACUAGCCACAAAAGGCCCUGUACUGGGUUGAGUAGUGUUUCUCCAAAACUCAUGUCUACCUGGAACUUGAGAAUGUGGUCUUAUUUGGAAAGAGGGUCCCUGCGGAUGUCAUCAAGUUAGGACAAGGUCAUACUGGGUUUAGCAUGGGCCCUUCCACUGAAGUUCCUAUAAGACGAAAGAAGUUUGGAUACAGCUUUUUCCCUAUGUGUCUCUCUGUGAAGACACUGGCAGAGACUUGAGCGAUGCAGCCAAGAAAUGCCAAGGAUUUGCCAGCAACCACCAGAAGCUAGGAGCAUGCAGAAGAAAGAUUCGUCCCUAGAGCCUUCAGGAGGAGCACCGCCCUGGCCAUACUUGGCAGACUUCUGCCCCCAGAGAUUACAUUUCUGUUGUUUGAAGCCACCAGGCUUGCAGGGAUUCAUUCCAGCAGCCCUAGGAAACCAACAAAACCCAUCUUCUGCUCACCUACCUUGCAGGGGAGUAGAGAAAGUUCUAUCUUGUAGUUCUGUGGGAAAGAUGAGCUUCUUUUCAGAAGCCUCAGCAACUUUUUCUCAGGUCUCCUAUGCCCAUGUCUGAAUCAGUCCUAGCAUCCAGCUACACCUGGAGCUGAUAGGUUGUCUCUCACACUUAAACCACAAGGAAAAAUGGCAGAGAAGGGAUUCCUGCUCUUCUCCCACUCAAAAACAAAUAAAACACCCCAAACCCAUAGCGUUUAAUUUAUUUCCUUUGUUAGGAAAAAAGGAAAAUAAAUCCUAGGAAAGGAAUCACCUCUACUAUUGAUGGCAGUUUGCUUGACUUUGGCUGGAAGUUACAAAAAAUUUGACCCUUAAAUAGCUUAAACAUGGAAGAAAGUUCCUGGCUCACACGAUAAAAUCCUGAUCUGAGGCAGAUCAAGCUUGGGACUGGGUACAAACAGGGCUCUAGCUCUAAAUCACUCCUCUUCUCCAGCAUCAGUCUUCCUCUAGGUGCCAGGUUGGCCUUUGUGAUCUCAAAAUGACUGCCAGAAGCAACUAGGGUGACCAACAUCCUUUUCCUGCACAGUAGGAGAGGAUAAAAAUCUUAUUCCCAAUUAUGAAACAAAGAUCCUUCCUUUUAGGCUGAUUGGACACAUUUAGGUCAUGUCCCUAGACCCGUAUGAAUUGUGGAGGCGGGGUGGGUGGGGGAAAUGCCAAUCACUGAUAGGAGUAAGUCUAGUUUCCUGAGCAAAUCACAGGGCGGGGGAAGAAAGCAGUAUGAUGAUCAGGAUGGCUUAGCAUUAGAUUAAUCUGGAUUCUUCCUUGGAGCUUAAGAUGGUGUUGGCUUUCCCUAAUGUAUGUGUUCUGCAAGGGAGAGGGUAUCUGAAAAAUAUGCAAAGGGUGAAUGGAUGCUAGUCCAUCAAGGCAACAAUAUUGUUCAUCAAGGCAAUGAUAUUGUCCAUCAAGGCAUCCUUUCAAGUACAGAUUGGAUCCCACCUCCUCCAUGAAGCCUCUCCAGAUUACUCCAGCCAGAAGCAAACCUCCUGAAUUCCUUCAGUACUUAUUGCUCACACUGACCUUUCACACUUGCCCUAUACUUUUAAUAUCUCUCUGUACAUCUUUCUAAUUUCAUCUAAAUCCUUAAAAGUAGAGUAUGUGUUACCUUCAUCUGUGUAUUGCAGUAUACUUUGUGUAUCAUCUUGCCCAGAAUAUUUUAUGCUCAGUAAAAAUCUGAUGCCUAAUUGAGUAACAUAAUAAAAGCAUAAAGAACCAGGGAGCUUUGAAACUUCGCAACAGAGAUACAGACCCAGCUCGUUAAUUCAAUUCUCACUUCUUCCUAAUAGAAAUCUCCCCUUGCUCAUUAUCUCCCAGGAGCCUUUCAUGCAGACAUACUGGUGAUUCUCAGCCUUCGAAUCCAUCUGUACUUAUAAAAAGGUUAGAUUUUGAACCUAAUUAAAUAGUGAGAAGCACUGAUAAUACAUGACUUGGCUAAUAUUUUGAAUAAGAAUCUGGACAAGAUGCGAGAACUAAAGUGGUAAUACAAGUUUUACUAUGGAAGCGGAAUAAGAUAAAGGAAGGAAGACCUUUUCAGUCGGGCAGAGAUGUUUUAGUCAUUUUUUUUCCAUUUUAAUAACAUAACACACAAUUGUCCUUACCUACUUAAACUAUAGAUUUUUCAGCCUAUGUUAGGUCUAAUCUAGCAAUUAUCCAUGAAAGUUUUAAGAGUUUCGUUGCUCAACACUGUUGUUAAAUUUCUGUUACCUUUGACAAUGAUUAUACCAUGUUCAGGGCAGAAUAUUUCUAAUCUCUGAAAAUCUCAGUGAUCUAGCAUGGAUUUUGAUUAUUAAUUCAUUAAGAAGAUUGUCACCACCUUGAAGAUGUCUUGAGGUCUGCAAUUUUCUCUAUAAAUGAAUUCUAGGGUAUCUGAUGGCUAUUUUGUUACCAUUAGUGGACAGUAUGAUGUCCUGGUCUAGAUACAUGACCCAAAGUGAUCAAAGUGGUCAGCAUUGUGUUUCAAGGAGAUUUCAUCUUUCAAAGACAAGAGUAAAUAAUUAAAUCCUUUAUUAAAAAAGAGUUGAGUGUAAAAAUGUCUAGAUGAAAUCACCCUAUUUUCCCUCUAAGAAGGAAAUAGGAGCGAGAAAAUUGGAGGCACACAUUCCCAGCAAACUCCCUCUAGGUUGACAGAGAUGACCAAGGCUGCCUUGAAUGGGAAAAUGGAUUACCGCUCACUUCCCACUUUUGAUAAGUUUGGUCUCAUUUUUUAAAAAAAGAAUUGGAACCAGGAAGAAGUUGAGCUCUACCAGUGAUUCAAAUCCAAGAACAGUUCAUGUCUCCUGGCCUUUUAAAGUCACUAGACAGAGUAAGGACGGCUACUGCCAGAGGGUUCAACACCCAAGUGUUAGUUCUGAGCACUUCCAGGCCCAUCUUUCCCUCUUGCUUUCUAAGUCUGUAUGCAUUUCACUCUUUUUUCGAUCAGCCUGAAGAAGCAUCAGGGGGUUAGGGGAAAAGGCAGGUGGAGAGAGGGCAUUUCAAAGACAACAGGAUAAAAAUGGUCUAAACCUGACCAAGUAUUUUCAAGGCAUAAGAUUUUUUAAAGAUGGGGGAGGGAUGGAGUGGGAGGUUGGGCUUAGCAGAGGUAAGCUAGAAUGCAUGGAGGGAAUAAUCAACAAGAUCCUACUGUAUAGUACGCGGAACUAUACUCAGUGUCCUAUGAUAAACUAUAAUGGAAAAGAAUAUGUUUUUAAAAAGUGUUUAUACAUGUGUAACGGAAUCACUUUGCUG
This 5489-nucleotide long non-coding RNA is filed under the name Sus scrofa (pig). RNAcentral's name for it is "lncRNA (ENSSSCG00015030893.1)". The record is from RNAcentral. Lineage: Eukaryota; Metazoa; Chordata; Mammalia; Artiodactyla; Suidae.